AGGUGAUAUGAACCGUUAUAACCGGCGAUUUCCGAAUGGGGAAACCCAGUGUGAUUCGUCACACUAUCAUUAACUGAAUCCAUAGGUUAAUGAGGCGAACCGGGGGAACUGAAACAUCUAAGUACCCCGAGGAAAAGAAAUCAACCGAGAUUCCCCCAGUAGCGGCGAGCGAACGGGGAGGAGCCCAGAGCCUGAAUCAGUGUGUGUGUUAGUGGAAGCGUCUGGAAAGGCGCGCGAUACAGGGUGACAGCCCCGUACACAAAAAUGCACAUACUGUGAGCUCGAUGAGUAGGGCGGGACACGUGGUAUCCUGUCUGAAUAUGGGGGGACCAUCCUCCAAGGCUAAAUACUCCUGACUGACCGAUAGUGAACCAGUACCGUGAGGGAAAGGCGAAAAGAACCCCGGCGAGGGGAGUGAAAAAGAACCUGAAACCGUGUACGUACAAGCAGUGGGAGCCUCUUUAUGGGGUGACUGCGUACCUUUUGUAUAAUGGGUCAGCGACUUAUAUUCUGUAGCAAGGUUAACCGAAUAGGGGAGCCGAAGGGAAACCGAGUCUUAACUGGGCGUUAAGUUGCAGGGUAUAGACCCGAAACCCGGUGAUCUAGCCAUGGGCAGGUUGAAGGUUGGGUAACACUAACUGGAGGACCGAACCGACUAAUGUUGAAAAAUUAGCGGAUGACUUGUGGCUGGGGGUGAAAGGCCAAUCAAACCGGGAGAUAGCUGGUUCUCCCCGAAAGCUAUUUAGGUAGCGCCUCGUGAAUUCAUCUCCGGGGGUAGAGCACUGUUUCGGCAAGGGGGUCAUCCCGACUUACCAACCCGAUGCAAACUGCGAAUACCGGAGAAUGUUAUCACGGGAGACACACGGCGGGUGCUAACGUCCGUCGUGAAGAGGGAAACAACCCAGACCGCCAGCUAAGGUCCCAAAGUCAUGGUUAAGUGGGAAACGAUGUGGGAAGGCCCAGACAGCCAGGAUGUUGGCUUAGAAGCAGCCAUCAUUUAAAGAAAGCGUAAUAGCUCACUGGUCGAGUCGGCCUGCGCGGAAGAUGUAACGGGGCUAAACCAUGCACCGAAGCUGCGGCAGCGACACUAUGUGUUGUUGGGUAGGGGAGCGUUCUGUAAGCCUGCGAAGGUGUACUGUGAGGUAUGCUGGAGGUAUCAGAAGUGCGAAUGCUGACAUAAGUAACGAUAAAGCGGGUGAAAAGCCCGCUCGCCGGAAGACCAAGGGUUCCUGUCCAACGUUAAUCGGGGCAGGGUGAGUCGACCCCUAAGGCGAGGCCGAAAGGCGUAGUCGAUGGGAAACAGGUUAAUAUUCCUGUACUUGGUGUUACUGCGAAGGGGGGACGGAGAAGGCUAUGUUGGCCGGGCGACGGUUGUCCCGGUUUAAGCGUGUAGGCUGGUUUUCCAGGCAAAUCCGGAAAAUCAAGGCUGAGGCGUGAUGACGAGGCACUACGGUGCUGAAGCAACAAAUGCCCUGCUUCCAGGAAAAGCCUCUAAGCAUCAGGUAACAUCAAAUCGUACCCCAAACCGACACAGGUGGUCAGGUAGAGAAUACCAAGGCGCUUGAGAGAACUCGGGUGAAGGAACUAGGCAAAAUGGUGCCGUAACUUCGGGAGAAGGCACGCUGAUAUGUAGGUGAAGCGACUUGCUCGUGGAGCUGAAAUCAGUCGAAGAUACCAGCUGGCUGCAACUGUUUAUUAAAAACACAGCACUGUGCAAACACGAAAGUGGACGUAUACGGUGUGACGCCUGCCCGGUGCCGGAAGGUUAAUUGAUGGGGUUAGCGGUAACGCGAAGCUCUUGAUCGAAGCCCCGGUAAACGGCGGCCGUAACUAUAACGGUCCUAAGGUAGCGAAAUUCCUUGUCGGGUAAGUUCCGACCUGCACGAAUGGCGUAAUGAUGGCCAGGCUGUCUCCACCCGAGACUCAGUGAAAUUGAACUCGCUGUGAAGAUGCAGUGUACCCGCGGCAAGACGGAAAGACCCCGUGAACCUUUACUAUAGCUUGACACUGAACAUUGAGCCUUGAUGUGUAGGAUAGGUGGGAGGCUUUGAAGUGUGGACGCCAGUCUGCAUGGAGCCGGCCUUGAAAUACCACCCUUUAAUGUUUGAUGUUCUAACGUUGGCCCCUGACCGGGGUUGCGGACAGUGUCUGGUGGGUAGUUUGACUGGGGCGGUCUCCUCCUAAAGAGUAACGGAGGAGCACGAAGGUUGGCUAAUCCUGGUCGGACAUCAGGAGGUUAGUGCAAUGGCAUAAGCCAGCUUGACUGCGAGCGUGACGGCGCGAGCAGGUGCGAAAGCAGGUCAUAGUGAUCCGGUGGUUCUGAAUGGAAGGGCCAUCGCUCAACGGAUAAAAGGUACUCCGGGGAUAACAGGCUGAUACCGCCCAAGAGUUCAUAUCGACGGCGGUGUUUGGCACCUCGAUGUCGGCUCAUCACAUCCUGGGGCUGAAGUAGGUCCCAAGGGUAUGGCUGUUCGCCAUUUAAAGUGGUACGCGAGCUGGGUUUAGAACGUCGUGAGACAGUUCGGUCCCUAUCUGCCGUGGGCGCUGGAGAACUGAGGGGGGCUGCUCCUAGUACGAGAGGACCGGAGUGGACGCAUCACUGGUGUUCGGGUUGUCAUGCCAAUGGCACUGCCCGGUAGCUAAAUGCGGAAGAGAUAAGUGCUGAAAGCAUCUAAGCACGAAACUUGCCCCGAGAUGAGUUCUCCCUGACUCCUUGAGAGUCCUGAAGGAACGUUGAAGACGACGACGUUGAUAGGCCGGGUGUGUAAGCGCAGCGAUGCGUUGAGCUAACCGGUACUAAUGAACCGUGAGGCUUAACCUUACAACGCCGAAG
This 2833-nucleotide ribosomal RNA is filed under the name Escherichia coli. RNAcentral describes it as "partial 23S ribosomal RNA". It matches the Rfam family "Bacterial large subunit ribosomal RNA". The record is from RNAcentral. Lineage: Bacteria; Pseudomonadati; Pseudomonadota; Gammaproteobacteria; Enterobacterales; Enterobacteriaceae.